GAUGAACGCUGGCGGCGUGCCUAAUACAUGCAAGUCGAGCGAACGGACGAGAAGCUUGCUUCUCUGAUGUUAGCGGCGGACGGGUGAGUAACACGUGGAUAACCUACCUAUAAGACUGGGAUAACUUCGGGAAACCGGAGCUAAUACCGGAUAAUAUUUUGAACCGCAUGGUUCAAAAGUGAAAGACGGUCUUGCUGUCACUUAUAGAUGGAUCCGCGCUGCAUUAGCUAGUUGGUAAGGUAACGGCUUACCAAGGCAACGAUGCAUAGCCGACCUGAGAGGGUGAUCGGCCACACUGGAACUGAGACACGGUCCAGACUCCUACGGGAGGCAGCAGUAGGGAAUCUUCCGCAAUGGGCGAAAGCCUGACGGAGCAACGCCGCGUGAGUGAUGAAGGUCUUCGGAUCGUANAACUCUGUUAUUAGGGAAGAACAUAUGUGUAAGUAACUGUGCACAUCUUGACGGUACCUAAUCAGAAAGCCACGGCUAACUACGUGCCAGCAGCCGCGGUAAUACGUAGGUGGCAAGCGUUAUCCCGAAAUUAUGGGCGUAAAGCGCGCGUAGCGGUUUUUUAAAUCUGAUGUGAAAGCCCGCGGCUCAACCGUGGAGGGUCAUUGGAAACUGGAAAACUUGAGUGCAGAAGAGGAAAGUGGAAUUCCAUGUGUAGCGGUGAAAUGCGCAGAGAUAUGGAGGAACACCAGUGGCGAAGGCGACUUUCUGGUCUGUAACUGACGCUGAUGUGCGAAAGCGUGGGGAUCAAACAGGAUUAGAUACCCUGGUAGUCCACGCCGUAAACGAUGAGUGCUAAGUGUUAGGGGGUUUCCGCCCCUUAGUGCUGCAGCUAACGCAUUAAGCACUCCGCCUGGGGAGUACGACCGCAAGGUUGAAACUCAAAGGAAUUGACGGGGACCCGCACAAGCGGUGGAGCAUGUGGUUUAAUUCGAAGCAACGCGAAGAACCUUACCAAAUCUUGACAUCCUUUGACAACUCUAGAGAUAGAGCUUUCCCCUUCGGGGGACAAAGUGACAGGUGGUGCAUGGUUGUCGUCAGCUCGUGUCGUGAGAUGUUGGGUUAAGUCCCGCAACGAGCGCAACCCUUAAGCUUAGUUGCCAUCAUUAAGUUGGGCACUCUAAGUUGACUGCCGGUGACAAACCGGAGGAAGGUGGGGAUGACGUCAAAUCAUCAUGCCCCUUAUGAUUUGGGCUACACACGUGCUACAAUGGACAAUACAAAGGGCAGCGAAACCGUGAGGUCAAGCAAAUCCCAUAAAGUUGUUCUCAGUUCGGAUUGUAGUCUGCAACUCGACUACAUGAAGCUGGAAUCGCUAGUAAUCGUAGAUCAGCAUGCUACGGUGAAUACGUUCCCGGGUCU
RNAcentral lists this ribosomal RNA (1371 nucleotides) under uncultured bacterium. RNAcentral describes it as "bacterial SSU rRNA". It matches the Rfam family "Bacterial small subunit ribosomal RNA", at positions 28 to 1381 of the family's 1533-position model. The record is from RNAcentral.